Molecule: ribosomal RNA, 461 nt
Filed under: uncultured bacterium
Lineage: Bacteria
Description: partial 16S ribosomal RNA
Rfam family: Bacterial small subunit ribosomal RNA
Source: RNAcentral
CCUACGGGAGGCAGCAGUGAGGAAUAUUGGUCAAUGGGCGAGAGCCUGAACCAGCCAAGUCGCGUGAAGGAUGACGGCCCUACGGGUUGUAAACUUCUUUUGUCAGGGAGCAAUUGAGUCCACGUGAGGGCUUAGCGAGAGUACCUGAAGAAAAAGCAUCGGCUAACUACGUGCCAGCAGCCGCGGUAAUACGGAGGAUGCGAGCGUUAUCCGGAUUUAUUGGGUUGAAAGGGAGCGUAGACGGCGGUGCAGGCCAGAUGUGAAAGCCUGGGGCUCAACCCCGGGACUGCAUUUGGAACUGUGCUGCUAGAGUGUCGGAGAGGCAGGCGGAAGUCCUAGUGUAGCGGUGAAAUGCGUAGAUAUUAGGAGGAACACCAGUGGCGAAGGCGGCCUGCUGGACGAUGACUGACGUUGAGGCUCGAAAGCGUGGGGAGCAAACAGGAUUAGAUACCCUAGUAGUC